RNAcentral lists this transfer RNA (77 nucleotides) under Pseudomonadales bacterium. RNAcentral's name for it is "tRNA-Met". It matches the Rfam family "tRNA". Rfam says of the family: Transfer RNA (tRNA) molecules are approximately 80 nucleotides in length. Their secondary structure includes four short double-helical elements and three loops (D, anti-codon, and T loops). Lineage: Bacteria; Pseudomonadati; Pseudomonadota; Gammaproteobacteria; Pseudomonadales. The record is from RNAcentral. RNAcentral also lists the same sequence under 5 other names.
UGCGGGGUGGAGCAGUCUGGUAGCUCGACGGGCUCAUAACCCGUAGGUCGUAGGUUCGAAUCCUGCCCCCGCUACCA